AGCAGCCGCGGUAAUUCCAGCUCCAAUAGCGUAUAUUAAAGUUGUUGCAGUUAAAAAGCUCGUAGUUGAAUUUCGGGAUCAAGGAAUCGGUCAUGCCUCGGUAUGUACUGGUUUUAUUGGUUCUCACCUUCUAAAGAACCAUGAUGUCAUUCAUUUGAUGUUAUGGGGAAUUAGGACUGUUACCUUGAAAAAAUUAGAGUGUUUAAAGCAAGCUUACGCUUGAAUACAUUAGCAUGGAAUAAUGAAAUAGGACAUCCGAUUCUAUUUUGUUGGUUUCUAGGAUCGAUGUAAUGAUUAAUAGGGAUAGUUGGGGGCAUUAGUGUUCAAUUGUCAGAGGUGAAAUUCUUGGAUUUAUUGAAGACUAACUACUGCGAAAGUAUUUGCCAAGGAUGUUUUCAUUAAUCAAGAACGAAAGUUAGGGGAUCGAAGACGAUCAGAUACCGUCGUAGUCUUAACCAUAAACUAUGCCGACUAGGGAUCGGAUGAUGUUAUUUUUAGUGACUCAUUCGGCUACCG
Molecule: ribosomal RNA, 516 nt
Filed under: uncultured Glomus
Lineage: Eukaryota; Fungi; Glomeromycota; Glomeromycetes; Glomerales; Glomeraceae
Description: SSU rRNA
Rfam family: Eukaryotic small subunit ribosomal RNA
Source: RNAcentral